Panicum virgatum (switchgrass) is the source of this 983-nucleotide long non-coding RNA. RefSeq lists it as uncharacterized. NCBI's taxonomy places the organism in Eukaryota, Viridiplantae, Streptophyta, Magnoliopsida, Poales, Poaceae. The record is from RefSeq and is a predicted model, not a curated record. The transcript has 2 exons.
CCGUCUCUCUCUCUCUCUCCCUCUCUCUCUCUCCCUCCUUGGACCUACUAGGCCCAAUGCAUCAGCCUGCGCGGGCACCGGACUCCGGGAGUCGGCAGACGGUGGUGGUGGCCGCGAAUCGACCGCCGCCCUCCGUUCCUUGCCGCUCAUGGGCGGACACCCGUGCCGAAUGCUCCAGUGUUCAGCGCAGCGCACGGGAAUCCACGGGGUCCCAUCGAGCGCGCAUUCCCCUGGCCGUCGCUCUCCCGUGACCCGCCGUGAUGCGCGCGCGCGGGGGCGGCACCGGCCGUGACGCCCGAGCAGGGCGGAGGAAGGCGACGCCCACCGUCGUGGCGGCGCGGGAGGAAUGGGACGUGCGCUCGUUCGCGAGGAGAUACUGUGGUGGACCACGAGGGUCACAGCAUACACACGCCGCCUGUUCGAGAGAAUGCCUGAACCAAGGUGUGCCAGUGAGGUAAAGGCCCGUGCGAUGCUAUGGGAACACAACUGUUUGACUUGAGGGAUAGAUUGACUCUUCUUUUGUUGGUAAAGGCCCGUGCGAUGCUACGUGCACACAAUUUUUAACAAAAUAAAUGUAGUAAGAAGACAAUAGACAUAUUGUUUAAGCCAUAAAUUUCACCUAGACAGUUUUGGUGGUAAAUGCCCUUUGGCUGCUGUGUGCAACACGGACAAAAGGUCAUGGCUGCAUACCUGAAUUUUUUCCCCCGAGUUAUCCUGUCACUAUUUUAGUUUCCACAUGGUAUAGAUGUCUAAUUUUUUUUCUAUGCCAACAUAUUGUUUUGGUUUUUGUCAGGAUUUCUGUUACUGAUACAUAUAUCGUUUAUAAAUUAGCAGAGAGAAAUUUGAACCACGAUGGACAGGACAGGUGCCGCCUUGAGGAAUCUAGCAAGUAUAUGCUCAGUUCUCUACGUACAUGUAUAUGCCGUCCUGAUUUUUUUUUCUUUUUACAGAGCCUCCUGAGUCUUGACCUGCAACUUUAUUAA